Molecule: non-coding RNA, 347 nt
Organism: Pelobates cultripes (western spadefoot toad)
Lineage: Eukaryota; Metazoa; Chordata; Amphibia; Anura; Pelobatidae
Source: the annotation of a GenBank genome assembly
GGAAGGAAGGAAGGAUCGGAGGAUUGGAAGCAGCUCUGAAGGUGGUGGUUGAAGCAAGAGGGAGCCGAGGAAACGGUGCCGAGGAAGUGGAGGAGGCAAGCCCCAAAUGUAACUGGAGUACUGAAGUAGGAGUUAGGGGGCUGGUAGAUUUAUGCUGGUAAAAUGUCUCGAGAAAGGAAGACAUGGAAAAGUUUAACAUUUUAACAUCAAGAGGAGUCUUCAGUUACUCCGGGGGUGUAAAUCAGGGACGUAUUGGUGUGAGGUAUUGACCCAGUGAUCCUAGCUGUAAACAGAAACACUGUCUGGUGUAAAGCCCCCUAUUCCAGCCUCUAUUCCAGUGAGAGGAA